UGACUAUGAUGAGAACUUAUCCUGAAGCUGAUCAUUUUGAUGAGACACUAACGGAUCUGAUUCCUGAGUU
Molecule: small nucleolar RNA, 70 nt
Organism: Esox lucius (northern pike)
Lineage: Eukaryota; Metazoa; Chordata; Actinopteri; Esociformes; Esocidae
Product: small nucleolar RNA SNORD50
Source: Ensembl